UCGAAUUGGAAAGCUUGCAAAAUAUGUUCCAUGCUUGCAAACUUUCCUUUUUCAAAUUCUAUCCUACAAUCAAUUAUUGCAUUUCUUGUAUUUUUUAAAAGAUGUGGUACGUCGAAUAUUGUUACCACUAAUUCUCCAUCAACUAUAAAUUGAUAUGGACUUGGGUUUUUGUCUGGAUACUCUCUAGUGAGAGCAGCAAUAGCCGCCCUAUUAGAGCUACCCUGGUCACAAACUGUGGCACAAACCUUCAUCCCUACCAAUCGUAGCUCUCUGAUAACUUGAAUAAUCAUUUCUUUCAAAUUAUCAGUUUUUAUGGAGUCUUUAGUGAAAAAAUAUGCGACAGGCAUCUUGUAACAUUUACUGAUGCUCCGUAUCAUGAAAAUGAGAGCAUGAUUUGCAGGGUUGGAUGUUCUACCCUUUGUGCCCAAAUCCUCGAAGCCAGAUAUUCUUUGCUUGUGGCUUUCAUAGUAGAGACCACUACUCAAAGACAUCUCAUCAAAAAUUAAGGCACAAUAACGAUCAAUCUCGUCCAUGUUUUCAACGUGAAUUUUCAAGUGUUCCAAAACAGGUUUAAGAAGUCCACAUUCGAAAGGUAUUGAAGCCAAAAUUAAUUGAAGUGAUCUAGGUGAUGGUAACUGAAAAAUAUUUCGAAGAUAGUUAUAAAGUUUUGGACUCCUUUUAAACAAAGAUAACGCAAAAGCUUUAUCUUCUGUAGACCACCGGCGAGCUGUUGGAGGCUUGUUGGCAUUUCUUAAUUGUGAAUUUAUGAACUGCGUGGUGACUUUAUUCAAAUUGUCUUCAAUAAAUUGAAAUUUACCAACUUUGUACAAUUCUUUCAGUGUUGGAAACUGAAUACGCUCAUUAUUUAAUAAAUUUUUGAGUUUCGAUAAUCUGGAAGACACAGUUCUAUGAAUUUUGUACAUGGACUCCUGCUCAAAGGAUAAAUCUGAUUUAUGAAGCCCAACUUUCCGUAAAAAUCCUGUUUGUCUGUCUGUCUAAAAUGAGUACAUAUCUAAUGAAUUUUUUUGAGCUGUUUCAGAACUAGAAAAUUCACUUGUACAUGAUACGGGGCUACUUACUGGAGUUGAUGGAUUAGAUAUUGAGGGAAUAGGAUUGAGAGGAUCAGAUGUUGAGGGAAUAGGAGUGCGAGGAUUAUAUGCUGAGGGAAUACGAGUGGGAGGAUUAGAUGGUGAGGGCAUAGAAGAGCAAGAAUUAGAUGUUGAGGUCAUAAGAGUGCUUGGAGUGAUUAGUACAUCACUAAUAAUAUUGAUGCUGGCUUUGGAGGAUAACCUAUCAUUUUCAGACUUACGUGUGUAAUUAUGUUCAUUAAGAACAUGAUAUUUUGGUGGAAAUCUUGGAACAGCAUCAACACGAAGACGGGAAACAAUGUUAGGGUUAGGGCAAUUAAAAUCAGAUGGUAAAAAAUGAUCCUCACAUAUUCGAAAAUAUGAACAUUUCACGCUCGGUUCUAUUCCGCAAACUUUUUGCCAUGACAAUAACCUUGAUGGAUUGGUAGGAAAACAGAAAAAGCGCUUGUUUUGCUGAUGGUUUAGGGUUUUAGACCUAUAAGAAUUUUUACAAGAUGGAAAUUUACAAUAGAAUACAUUUUUAUAAAGGGAAAGUUUCACUGGUUUUGGUGGUAUUUUCAGGAAUGGGUAAUUGGGAUGAGAUAUCCUUAACAAGAAAAACAAUAAUUGCGAAGAACGAUGAGAAACUAUAGUGAAUUACCUAGUAAAUUAUUUUCAUUAUACACUGCAACAAAACAUUUUAACCGCUAAAACCGCGAAGGCGCCAAACUGCAACUGUCGAAUGUCAAUUUGGAUUUUGGAACAUUAUCCUUCUUGUCAUGAGCGACAGAGAUAACCAUACAUCUUCUAUCUCUUUCAUUCUCUGUUAGGUAGGCGCAUAGAAUAUUUGUUUCCAAUUUAGUACUACGAGUUUCACCCCCCUGCUUCGGCCGAAGCGAAGCCGAAUAAUUGAAAAGUAGACCGAAGCGGCCGGAUACCGAAGCCGAAUCGAUGCUUCGGCGCAUCCCUAAUUGAAAGGUAAUAGCACAGACUAACCAGACAAUUCUCUCUGCCGUUUUUAGGCACGGCGUUUCGUUGACCUUGAGUUUCACUAUGAACUACUGUAGUAAAAAAUGACAAAGAUAACCGAACUUCCCACUCUUUCUAAAAGGUUCAAAACGCAAGUGAUUUGUCAGAUUAACCAAUUCAAAUUUUUGAAUUCACCCGACUGCUUGUAUUCAACUCCUAUUCUCUUUGAAUAUUGAAUACCAAGCAAAAUUUAUCGAAGUAUUCAAAAUUCCUGUUUUUUCAAAAACAUUAAAUAUAUUUCUUUGAAUUAAAACAACAAAGGAACUAAAUAUUUUAUUAUUUAUAAUAUAUUUGGAAUUAGUAAAAUAUGUAUGUAUGAAGUGAACAGAAGAUAAAAUGGGAACCGAAGGAAAACGAGUUGCACAUAUAGAAACUCAAACAACUAAAGAAUUAUCUCACCAAACACCAAGAAAAAGAAAGUUGAGGCAUCUAAUUGAGUCAAAGGAAAAUGAAAUUGAAAGAAUGAUAUUAAAGACAUUCAACUUCAAACAGUCUAUUCAGGAAAUAGACCCCUGCAAGACACAACUAUCUAAAGACAAAUUCGAAAAGGCUUGUGAUAUUCAUCUGCCAAAUAUUAUAGUUUUGGAAAUAUAGCCAAAAUAAUCAGUGAUCUCAAUGAUAAAAAUCUAAACGGAAGAAGAUAUACCAAGGAAUUUAAACAGCAUGCCCUUUCACUAUAUUAUUCCGGGCCUAAAAUUUAUAAAAGAAUGGUUGCCAUAUAUAAUUUUCCAUCAGUAUCUACAUUGAGAAGAAUGACAGAGAAUAUUGAGAAAAGAACUGGUUUAAAUGAUUUUAUAUUCAGAAGUCUCAAAUGGCGACUAGAAGGUAAAAGCAAAGAAGACAGGAUGUGUGCUUUGUCAAUGGAUGAAGUAUCGAUCAAAGCAAAUUUGCAAUAUGAUAAGAAAAAUGAUGAAAUUGUGGGUUUCCAUGAUAUUGGCAAAGAAAAAAAUAUAUCCCAGCAAAAAAUGCUUUAGUAUUGAUGGUAAGAGGAAUAAACAAUAAUUGGAAGCAGCCAUUAGGAUAUAAUUUUUUGAAUACAUCCUGUAGUCCAACAGACCUGAGUGGAAUUAUU
This is a long non-coding RNA of Harmonia axyridis, 3168 nucleotides long. RefSeq lists it as uncharacterized. The record is from RefSeq and is a predicted model, not a curated record. The transcript is spliced from 3 exons. NCBI's taxonomy places the organism in Eukaryota, Metazoa, Arthropoda, Insecta, Coleoptera, Coccinellidae.